Scophthalmus maximus (turbot) is the source of this 916-nucleotide long non-coding RNA. RefSeq lists it as uncharacterized. NCBI's taxonomy places the organism in Eukaryota, Metazoa, Chordata, Actinopteri, Pleuronectiformes, Scophthalmidae. The transcript has 4 exons. The record is from RefSeq and is a predicted model, not a curated record.
AACGAACCGGGCCGUGGUCGGAGGGAGAGUUGGGGUGAGACGUGGAUAUACGCUGGAUCCGGAACUUAAUCACCGCGGGCUGCAGCGCGACGCCGGGACGGUCUCACCUCUUCCUCUUUUAGUGGUCUCACUGCGCUGCUCUGGCGUGAUUGAGACGGCAGGACAGCGAGGAGGAGAGGUUGGACACGUGCUCAUGGUGAAGUUUUACCCACCUAACUAGAAGACUCAAAGUUGAGUUAGAAGUUAUACGGACUUAUCAAGACGGAAGGAUUAUUGCCUUGUUCGCAGCAGGCAGCCAACGAGGCCCCGUCUUGCCCUGUGUUCUUGUGGUGUCCUUGGCAGGAACGAGCAUGUCAGCUUUCAAGUGCACCUCGUUGAAAUAUGAGAUCACAGAUGAAUUUCACGACGAGCCGUGGCACCUUGGUGCAGAGACGGAGCUAAUGAGAGGCAAUUACCAAGAUGCAGAACUCGCUAAUGGACUUUUACUAUCGUUUGUCUUCAGCUGAUCUCGCUGCACUCCUCCUACGGCGUGCAGGGGAUGUGCGGGGAAUGGGAGCACAGCGAGUGUGGGCCACAAGUGAACGUGUGUCUUCAUCAUGUUAGUUUGUCACGUGUUGGGUCCAUAAGUCAUAAGUCGAGCAUUGUGCAAGCAGUGUUGAUCAAGAACUGAACUCGAGUGAGAAACUGUCCUAUUGUAACCCUGGAGCCAAGGCAUCACUCCAAUAUUAGCAACGCAUUUAGCUGCAAUAGCUUGAAAUGUAUGGCCCCAGGCCCGAAUCUAUUUAACCUUCAAAGAGGCAAUGAAUAGCUGUUAGUAAUAGCUUAGAUAACCUUUGAAAUAAAAUGUGUAUAAUUGCACAUGGUGACUGCUAAUGAUUCCAAUAAUUAGAUAUCAUUUAACAAUAUAAAAAUUGGA